AAGUAGUAUCCCAUAGUUUCUUUAGGAUAUCCUAUAAAAUGAGUUCUAAAGGACCUAGCCUCUAACUUGUCUGCAUAUUGUCAUUUGACAUGGACCGGACAUCCCCAAAUCUUGAGAUACCCAAAAGUUGGCUUCUUUAUGCUAUAACUCAUAUGGUGUGAUAGAAAUGGAUUUAAAGAGAACCUGAUUCACAAGAUGAAUCACAGAAAGCAAUGCAUAUCUUCAGAGAA
Molecule: long non-coding RNA, 230 nt
Filed under: Elaeis guineensis (African oil palm)
Lineage: Eukaryota; Viridiplantae; Streptophyta; Magnoliopsida; Arecales; Arecaceae
Description: long non-coding RNA (EGUI_LNC080100)
Source: RNAcentral